RNAcentral lists this long non-coding RNA (600 nucleotides) under Triticum aestivum (bread wheat). RNAcentral describes it as "long non-coding RNA (TAES_LNC016348)". The record is from RNAcentral. Lineage: Eukaryota; Viridiplantae; Streptophyta; Magnoliopsida; Poales; Poaceae.
UUUGAGGGGAAAAGAUACCCUCUUCCAGUGUAGUGUUCGACGCCGAAGAAGAGAAAGUGAUCAAUAUCGAAGAAAGGUAAAGUGGCAUAAAUUAUAUUGUGGUUUCACUCUUUUCACAUUUAUGUAGUCCGUACUUGUAUUUGAGGAUAUAUACCUGACUAUAUGGAGCAUUGCAGGCUUGCUUCAGGAGCUCCUGUUUUCAUCCACUAAUUAGAGACUCGGCUGUUUUGGUGCCAACGCAAUGAGUUGGGGGCGUGGUCCGUUUUGGUUUCACUGUCAACUUUUUGGUUUCUGACCUUCUCUUUUUGGGUGUGCGGUCCCUUUUUCUUUUUGUUUCGCUGUCAAUACGUGUGCAAGAAACAACCUUAAGUCCUUGGGGCCGGUUUAGUAGCUAUGACUCCGCUGUUGGCGGUUGUUAGAAAAUGCAAGUGUAUCAGUAAUUUCCUCUCAAAAUAAUAAUGAUAAUGCUGUAGUACUAAGUUUGCUUUGAGGGGAAGUGUACUCUUUGAUCGUAUAGUUACUCCUAAUAAGUGGAGUGGGAGAAGGGUGUAUAUACAGUGCAAUGCAUGAUGAGAUUCAGAUCUCACGGCCAGCCGCGCU